This 6793-nucleotide unclassified non-coding RNA is filed under the name Cyanidioschyzon merolae strain 10D. Its description in RNAcentral is "hypothetical transcript". Lineage: Eukaryota; Rhodophyta; Bangiophyceae; Cyanidiales; Cyanidiaceae. The record is from RNAcentral.
AUGGACGACUUUCCUGAGAAUGCAGCCUGAGCCAAAUACCCUGGUACCUUGAAGCAGCGCUGCCUGCUGGGGCACGCGAUACGAUGCGGACUUGAGUGCGCUGACGUGUUGCAGUCGCUAUCAACUGGAGUAUCGAGUGCCCCGCUGUGGGGUUGCGGGACUUGAUCUAUCAGGGGCUGCUGCAGCGCCCGCUUGUGUCCGCGCACAAGACUGGUCCACAGGAUCGUUCACGGGCGAUGGAACGGCGUAUGCCUGGUGUGGCCGCAGAGUAGCGCCUCGGAUGCUGUACGCAUGCACGUUCGGUAGCCUGCAGAAGCGCUGGACUCUGUGCAGAGCCUGCUGGCGUGCAAGUACGAGAACGUGAGGCUCGUUCACGUCUGUUUUUCUCGCAGACACAAAACAGAAGGAAUGCACCAUUUUGAUUGGAGAACGCUCGCUGAGAAACUUGAUGCAGUCAUUGGUAGCUUACGAAGAACGGCCUUGUUUCUAAAGGUCAGUCAUUCUCCGGUCAACUGGCGGACGAAGAGCGCUCCUCGUCGGUCCUAUGCUGGACGUAGAGCACCUGGCAUACGAGGUAUCAAGCUCUCGCUAGACGCCUGUGUUUUCUUCAAUGUGUGACAAUCCAUAUGUUCUCUAAGCUGCAGUACCAAAGACGCUACGGGAUGUAAUGUCUCUGUGCUGUUCAUCUGACUGGUGAUGAAGCAAUGCGCAUAGGCAACGAAAAACGUACGUCUCUAGAGGAAAACCUCGUGCACUGAAGAGCAGUUGGAUCGAUUUCGCUCUGAAACGUGAACGCGCAUGAUAGGAUGGAUGAACGCGAUCUCGUCUCAAUCGAUGAGACUUGAUUCGGCAGGGACGGUAGACCUGGAUAUGGGUAUCCGGGGCGCUCCAAAACUAUGAUCGUAGCGAGAGAAAACAAGCGUGCAUUCCGAAAACACCAGCGCUAGCGGCGAUAUAAUUUUGUGUCGUUUUCCGGGAAUCGCGAAAUCGACAGCGUGGUUGAACACUCCAUGCUUCGUCGGAGUCAUCUUGGAUGGCUUCUGUUUCCGGUAUGCUUCUGGGCGGGUUUCGGACACUGUCGCUUUUGAUCGCGCAAAAGCAGUCGAGGUGUGCGCAACCGAAUCUGGUAUCGAGCUGCUCUUCGUACCAGCGUAUUCUUCCUUAUUGUCUCCCGUGGAAGGCGGCUCCUCUGUUGUGGAAUGGUAUUGUUACGCUUACAGAUCAAUAGACGAGUCGUUCGCUUCCAUGACACCGAAGCGAAAAGAGCGUAGUUCGACGAGACAUUGCCUAUAGCGGUACUGGCGCAUCUCGUCAAGCAAGCGGUUGGUACGGGUUCCGGAAGCAGGGCCACUGACUGUCCACAUUCCUCUGCAAUGUUUCCAAUCCAUUGCUCUAGCGACGAUCCAGUUGAUGCUCGGUGCAGGAGAUGGAACGUGGUUUCAUCCAAGCGUCAGAGGUCUGCACACACGCCUUUUCAGAAUACCUUGCCGCUUCGCUGCUUCAUACCGGCGAUCGGAACAGCUACUGUGCAGUUGCCGAACGUACCGAAUAAACCUCAAAGGCAUGCGCGGGUCAAUAUCGAUCGCUUCAAGAGGCACAGUAUGCGGUCGUCGUGCCCAGACGUUACGGACCCCUGAAAGCAAGGGACUGAUGGACGACAUCCUUUGUGUGACUAUGAGUACAGAAGAGCGCGAUGUGGUUGCAAGCACCAAAUCGAUUUCCGAACGAGAGCAAGUGUCGCUGCACGUCGUCCAAGCGGAUUGAGUUCCCAUCGGGCUGAGACCGACGACCGUUGUACGUCAUCGCUGGUUGAAACCUGGUGAUGCGUAUCUUCCUUGCAUCCUGCACUAUGAAUCUGUGUUCCUGAACAAAGCCCUCGAGUGCGAAGCAGACGUCCGCACCGUAUCCAAGCGGAUUCAGCCUCCACGAGCGCUUCGUGUGUUUGAUCCCUCAAAUUCAUGACAUGGUCGAUUAUAUCACCGUAGAUACAUAUGGACUGGACUGUAUGGGCACCACAGCGAGCCACAAAUGUCUCUACGAGCAGCUGUAACGCAUUCGACAAACUUUUCCGAAGAGCAUCCCCUGAACGUGUCCAAGGGAUAUCUCAGUUUACCUAGAGGUAAUGGAAAAGUUUCCAGGGACCAUCUCGAUCGAUACAAUAUCAGUCUUCGUGGGCUUGAUAAAACCUAUGCCAGAGUCGACCAAUACGACUCAUUUUCACCUGUUCAAGGUCUAUGAAGAGACAGCGUUCGUCAUGGGCAUGGAUCCAAGCUCCCGAGACGUCAUUGCCGUCAUCGUCCAUCUGGGUCACGACGAGGGAGUCAGCAUGAUCGAAGGCUGGAUAUUACCAGCGGACCCGGCUAACAUGGACUCAGGUCAACACCUUCAUCGACGCUCUGAAUACCGUAUCGAAUAGAGGAAGUUUCCUCGAACGCUUCAUCCGUAGAUGACACGAGCGUUGAAACGGCUGAUGCGGACGAUUGUUGACACGAGUCUGUGUGGCUGCGUUCCGGUCGACGAGUGCAUCGAUUCUCUGGAGGCAAGAUACGUGCAUUCUCCAACUUUUUCAAGGAACUCUAGAUAGAAAUGAUCAACAAGUCGCGUUGUAUUGUGUCAGUCUGUGCAACGUGACAUGAUUCAGCGCGCAGUCGCAGCACUCCUGGCCCAUCGACGCGAGCGAUGACGACAAGUGCAGGGGUCGAUGCUGCGUGACACCCUUCGACGACUCGAUAAAAAGACCACAACACACCACGGGUACGAGUGUGCGCGCUUUGACUGGUAAGGAAGAAGAGCGUGAAACAGAGACGCAUGCUCGAGACGGUCUCGAGUGGGGUAACGGAACAGCUGCCAUCAGUGCAGUGCAAAGUCACAGUCUCGCUAUGAUGUUCGUGUACCAGUGAAAAUGCGGGCAAGCGCUAUCUGAACCGAGACUUGAACACCUGCAUCAAUAUCCGGAUAUGUUUCGUGUUUCCGGAGCGUUCAGCGAAGAUGCAUCGAGCCAGGUUUCGAACGAAUCGUCUCGUACUCCGCGGAGGCAUUCGGCUGAAACGCUACAGACUUUUGAUGAAGACAUCAUUGGCAAACGCACAUGCCACGAGAAGCCUAGCAUAGGGUACGACACGAAUGGCGUACCAGUCAGCAAUGCAGCAGGCCUAGAUUCCACUAUAAAUCGCACCAAGUACGGAUGUGGUGGAUAAUUGCUAGGCAAUUACGAAAUGACAUCAUUCGUUGUUCCUGUGUGUUUAUCCCCGACACGCCAGUGCUCAGGCAAGUUGCUCUGAUGACCAAGAAACGAAAAGAGAGGCAUUUUCGCCAUCGAAUGCAAACGGAUCCGCGAUCCUGCCGAUCCUUCACUCCUUGAUGCACUGGCGUCCAGGAAUGGGCCUGCUCGUCACCAAGCCACUUGCGGGCGACACCGUGCACUAAUCUGCAUACGAAGACGACGAGAGAUCAGGCUGGUCUUGGCUUGAGAAUGCAGACCCCGGCUCCAUCACUGCGAGCGACAGAUUUUCAUGGAUUGCUGCAUGGUUUUGCACUUGCCAAAGCAUCCCCGAUAGCUCGAUUAUAAUCGGUUCCCGGGAGCGUGUCCAUUGUGCUGUACGAGAGCUCCUGGUGCCAGCGGAGCAGCGAUGUCCGGUGGUGCAUUCCAGGCGCAAACAACGAAGCACCGGGACAUCAUCCACAUUCUCCGCGCGUAGUGUCGUCCGCUCGACCUACGCAAUGCGUUAUCGCAUGACAACAACACGCUUCCGAUGAAGCGUCGUGCGAAAAGAUGAAGAACGCAGCAUGCGCUUCAUUUUAUGAUGCGCACCAGUGCAACGCCGAAAGCAGGCCCUUGCGCCUCAGCGUAAGCUCGUCAAGCUGAACGACGCAUGUUCCAGAUAACUAGGGCGCGUACUACUCACCGGCUUAUGUGCUCAACGAGUAUCGUUCGGAUGGCGCCAGAAAAAAGCGCUUCACACGUGCUCGUGGCAGAUCCUGCAGUAUCUCGUUUCGAACGAGUACCGACCGUGCCCGCUUCAGUUCAUGACAUCAGUCUGUAGACGGAGGCUCAAUGCUCAGGACGACGUUGCCGGUUCCCGGGUCCAGAGCGCCGACCCGCACCACUGCCGGUCUGCAUGCCUCGGAGUAUGCCUCCGUUUCAUGAGGACAAGACGCCAACAUGCGCUGGUCGCUAACGAGAGCGUCUUACCCUUGGUACUGGGCAGAAGCGUUCAUGCAUGCAUCGUGGACAUGGAAGCCUGGUUACCAAUCGCUCAGGCUCCACAUCGAUUUGCUCGCAACACUGGCAGGGUAUCGGACGGCGAACGCGUUCAGACGCUUGGUCGUGUGCUCCUCGCCCUGAUCGACUCGGUUCUGCAUCGCCUGAGGCAUGACGAUCAGCGUGGCUUCGAUACCGACGUUCGCCUCGCGAUGCGUACGACAUGACGCUUGGGGAGCGUUGCUCGUGCAGGGCGGCGGCGGCGGCGGCGGCCAUGGUCCACUGGGUAAUCUUCACGGGCUCCAGGUCGGCAACGCUGGCGAUGCGUCCGUCGCAGCGUGAGCUCCAGUCCAGGGCGGUCACCUCCCCGGUGCAGGCUAUGCGAACGAACCUAUCGUCUCGAUCGGGCGACGCAUCGCUGCCAGCGACUUGCGCUGGAAGUUCCCAGUGUGCUGCGGGCAGGUUCCCCAGAUCCGCAACAAUAAGGUCGCAACCGGACCCAAAGGCAACGUACGCACCAUCGGGACUUGGGCGCACCCGAGUAUAAUGAGACCACAGCGGUGCCUGAAUGCUCUGUACAACUCCAUUCGAGAGACGAGCAUUUCCGAGCUGCAACGGGUCCAGAAUGAAGACUGUGCCACGUUCGGGUGCACCUGGACGCAGUGUGGCCACCGCAAGGCGCCGACAGCUGUGCUGCAGGUGCGCAUGUGCGAUGCCGUUACCUGGGGCAAGCUGCACCGUUGUCACCGGUUUGGCGAGGCGUCUGUGUGCUCUGAGCGAGCCACCUUCGAAUUCAGGGCUGAGCAACGGACAAGUCGACCAUGUUUGACGCAAAUCCCACACCUUCAGCAAUCCAUCCGUUGCACCUGCCGAUAACAGCGCACUGGGAUCAGGUCCAAGCCAGACAACGCUUGCGAUCGCUCGAUCAGGUGAGGGUGCCAGGAGAUCAGCCCGGGAAGCUACGCCCCGCUCCACGAGUCGACGAGCCGCAGGGUUCCGAAAAUGCCCCAGCUGCACAGCGCGCACAGGAAGGAGCGCGUUACGUGUCUUAUUAUCUCCGGAAAGCGCCGUACUGGAGCUCGACGCAAGUCGCCUGCAGCUGCGCAGAUCGUAGACGAAGAUGUUCCCGUCUCGUCCACAGGUGCUGAUGAUGCGACCUCCAUCCUCCGGGAGCGGAGCAAUGCUUCGCACUGCGCCAUGGUGUCCGCACAGCCGUGCAACGCGUACCGGUGGCGAAGGCGCCUCGCUUCCUCCGUAAUCCUGAAAAUAACGCCAGUCUCGAUUCCAGCCUCGCUGACGAUUCUUAUGACCUAAUGCGCUGCACGUGGAGACGUCCACGAUAUCGACAACUCCUGAGGCGUAAGCUGCAGCCAGUCCGGAUGCGUUGGUCGUCGCCCCCGGUAGCCAAGCGACGUCAAACACUGCCCGGUUGCUCUCGCAACUAUUCCAGAAAGCAACCAGGUUCUCAGAUUCCACGUACAGAGCUCGCUCUCGGGACACUCCAAUAGGACCGUUUUCUUCCGAUGCGAUCUGCACGGUACGGUCUACGUCGAUCAGCCGCACGCGACCGCCCUGGUCGCCAACGGCAACAACCUCGGUGCCCGGGUGAUAGGCAAGCGCGUACGCCAGCGUUGCAUCAGUUGCCUGCUGCGCGCUGUCACUGCUGACAGCCCGCUCAGCAGCGCUCUGCAGCGGCAAAUUCCGGAGCCAGCGAACUCUACGCCGCUCCCGCACAGCACGCGCUUCAGCAUCCAGUGGCUCGCUUGUGGCGGCACUGCGUCCACAGAGACACUGGUCGAGCAGGCGAGCCCACCCGACUUGCUCCAUGUAGUCAGCAAAGAGGACCGACCCCUGCCGUUGCAGCUGAUGCCUCCACGGUCGCCGUGCUUCGUACGCCUCGUCCCGAUCAGGCCACGUGUGAGCAGUAGCGUCCAGUUCAGCGAGCUCGAGUCCCUGUGUAGGUAGCAGGUAGCCGCUGCCAGCGACAUAUCGGCAGAGGGAACGUGCACGCUUUCGCCGUAGCGUUUGCGUCACCUGUGCAGCAUCGAGUGCUCUACAGUUCCGUUCUAGAUCGGACACCAAACGCACGAUAGACUUGGACAUUUCCGGUUUCAUCGACUGAAUAGACGCUGAAAACACCCCCGAGUGGCGAGGCGUACAGCGCGCCGCGUCACGCCGUUGCCGCUGCGUCGUUCGCGCCAUUUCGGCAAAGCGUCCACGCAAGUACCGCUUUCUUUCCCUCGGUGAAAGACGUGCUCGAGACGCUCUGUUUUGUGGUGCAAACCAGGAGCUCAGACUGGAAACAAGGAGUAACGGGGGCUUCAUGCAAGACGCUAUGGUUACUGGGAGAGGUUUUGCUCGAGAAAGUGCCCCGGGGGAGCCCAACGCCCUGUCUGAGGGCACUGCGUUCGCCCGAGGCUCGACGUGCACCAGACACGCUGAGCGUUUAUGCUGCGGACGCGAAUGCCGGCGCGGGCGAGCUACUAGGCAUCGUCGGAAGUGCGGGCAGAUUGGUAUCCCUCGACGGAUGCGGACUAUUGCGUCCGGGAAGGUUGCGACCAAGUUGAGGUGCAUCGAAGCGAAGCUGGAGCG